GCGGCAUGCCUUACACAUGCAGUCGAACGUUAACAGGUUAAGCUGACGAGUGGCGAACGGGUGAGUAAUAUAUCGGAACGUGCCCAGUCGUGGGGGAUAACGCAGCGAAAGCUGUGCUAAUACCGCAUACGAUCUAUGGAUGAAAGCGGGGGAUCGCAAGACCUCGCGCGAUUGGAGCGGCCGAUAUCAGAUUAGCUAGUUGGUGGGGUAAAAGCCCACCAAGGCGACGAUCUGUAGCUGGUCUGAGAGGACGACCAGCCACACUGGAACUGAGACACGGUCCAGACUCCUACGGGAGGCAGCAGUGGGGAAUUUUGGACAAUGGGCGCAAGCCUGAUCCAGCAAUGCCGCGUGCAGGACGAAGGCCUUCGGGUUGUAAACUGCUUUUGUAUGGAGCGAAACGGUCUCUUCUAAUAAAGGGGGCUAAUGACGGUACCGUAAGAAUAAGCACCGGCUAACUACGUGCCAGCAGCCGCGGUAAUACGUAGGGUGCGAGCGUUAAUCGGAAUUACUGGGCGUAAAGCGUGCGCAGGCGGUUAUAUAAGACAGAUGUGAAAUCCCCGGGCUCAACCUGGGACCUGCAUUUGUGACUGUAUAGCUAGAGUACGGUAGAGGGGGAUGGAAUUCCGCGUGUAGCAGUGAAAUGCGUAGAUAUGCGGAGGAACACCGAUGGCGAAGGCAAUCCCCUGGACCUGUACUGACGCUCAUGCACGAAAGCGUGGGGAGCAAACAGGAUUAGAUACCCUGGUAGUCCACGCCCUAAACGAUGUCAACUGGUUGUUGGGUCUUCUCUGACUCAGUAACGAAGCUAACGCGUGAAGUUGACCGCCUGGGGAGUACGGCCGCAAGGUUG
Molecule: ribosomal RNA, 853 nt
Filed under: uncultured bacterium
Lineage: Bacteria
Description: bacterial SSU rRNA
Rfam family: Bacterial small subunit ribosomal RNA
Source: RNAcentral